Molecule: ribosomal RNA, 253 nt
Filed under: uncultured bacterium
Lineage: Bacteria
Description: partial 16S ribosomal RNA
Rfam family: Bacterial small subunit ribosomal RNA
Source: RNAcentral
UACGGAGGGCGCAAGCGUUGUUCGGAAUCAUUGGGCGUAAAGCGCGUGUAGGCGGCCAGGUGAGUCGGGUGUGAAAGCCCGGGGCCCAACCCCGGAAUUGCAUUCGAUACUGCUUGGCUGGAGUCCCGGAGAGGAAGGCGGAAUUCCCGGUGUAGAGGUGAAAUUCGUAGAUAUCGGGAGGAACACCAGCGGCGCAGGCGGCCUUCUGGACGGUGACUGACGCUGAGACGCGAAAGCGUGGGGAGCAAACAGG